Molecule: long non-coding RNA, 1099 nt
Organism: Bos taurus (domestic cattle)
Lineage: Eukaryota; Metazoa; Chordata; Mammalia; Artiodactyla; Bovidae
Source: Ensembl
GUAAGGAGCCUUUCUGAGUGUACUAGUCACUUUGAAAGCAGAUUCUGGUUUCUAAUUUGUGGCAAAAUGUAGGAGAGAUGAGACUACUCCCAAAAGGUUGAUCUCAAAUCCAGGGGCAUCUGAAUUUGGAACCAAGCAGCUAACAGAUCUUCCCGCACUGAACCCAGGUGGACGCCCACCUAUGCUUGUUAAGCUCAGCUGCCAUGUGAUUGUGCCAACUGGGUGGGGAGGGGGGUGUGGAAAGACUAUGGACAGUGGGUGCAUUUCCCCCUCAUUGUGGGCAUCUGCUCACCAAGCUGGAUGAGAGGCAGUCACAGGGGACGAUGGGUACAGAGGACCACAACCAGGAAGAGUACAGUGAGCCCAUAGUUUAUGGGCUAACAGUCCCUUCCAUUAACUUCUACAUCCCUGCAAACAAAUCCUGGUCCUGGAAACAAUGUCAAUUCCCUGCAUACAUUAGAGCCAUGGUUCUCAAACCUUUUACUGCUUCCCAGGUGGCUCAGUGGUAAAGAAUCUGCCUGCCAAUGCAGGAGACACAGGAGACAGUGGUUCGAUCCCUGGGUCAGGAGGAUCUCCUGGAGAAGGGCACAGCAUGCAACCCACUCCAGUAUUCUUGCCUGGAGAAUCCCACGGACAGAGGAGCAUGGCGGGCAACACCUGUGUGCUCAACUGCCCCGUGGUAUGCGGGAUCUUACUUUUCGACCUGGAUCAAGUCAACAUUCCCUCCAUUGCAAGGCAGAUUCUUAGCCAUUGGACCAGCAAGGAAGUGAACGCCAAGGACCACCUUAAGAGAACUCUCUCUCCUUUUUUUAAUGUAUCUAGUGGCAUGUGGAACUUCCCCAACCAUGGAUUCAACCUGUGUCCCCUACAGCAGAAGCUCAGAAUCUUAACCACUGGACUUGCCAGGAAAGUCCCUAUCUACUCAUUUUAGAAGCUGCUUACAUCAGUGCUUUACUCCCUCCCCCUUCAAUGAGGUUAUGUCACACAUUUGUAAAACAGAUUCUUUGGUCUCUGUAUUCUGUCUUGUAGUUGUCCGGUCUCCCAACUGAUAUGUUUUUAAAUUUGCAUUCUUUAAGAUUCAUUCUCGAGUUGUAAAGCC